GUUAAUGUGCUUUAUCACUGUUUUAGGCUCUGGGAAUAUGGUGGUGAAUAAGAAACACACUGUUCCUACAGUUUAGUGGAGAAUAAAGGCAUUGGACAAGUCAAGACAGGUAUAAAGAAUGCUAGGAAGGAGAAAUGUCAGGCAGCAGAGAUGAAAGCAGCAAAUGAAGCAGAAGGAAAAGUAGAAUCCGAGAAGGCAGACAUGGAAGAUGGAGAGAAGGAAGACAAAGACAAAGAAGAGGAGCAAGCUGAGUACCUGUGGACAGAAGUGACAAAAAAGAAGAAGCGGCGGUGUGGUCAGAAGGUUGAGAAGCUGGAAGCUUUCACAGCCAAUUUCUUUAAAGGGCUGGAAAUCUAUCAGACCAAGUUACUGCAUUACCUGGCCAGGAAUUUCUACAACCUGAGGUUCCUUGCUCUGUUUGUAGCCUUCGCUAUCAACUUCAUCCUGCUUUUUUAUAAGGUCACUGAAGAACCUUUAGAAGAAGAGACAGAGGAUGUUGCAAACCUAUGGAAUUCCUUUAAUGACGAGGAAGAGGAAGAAGCGAUGGUAUUCUUUGUCCUUCAGGAGAGCACCGGGUAUAUGGCACCAACACUGCGGGCCCUGGCCAUCAUCCACACCAUCAUCUCUCUAGUCUGCGUGGUGGGCUACUACUGCCUGAAGGUGCCUUUGGUGGUAUUCAAAAGGGAAAAAGAAAUCGCCAGGAAGCUGGAGUUUGAUGGCCUAUAUAUCACCGAACAGCCAUCUGAAGAUGACAUCAAGGGGCAGUGGGACCGCUUGGUGAUCAACACACCAUCUUUUCCUAAUAACUACUGGGACAAGUUUGUAAAGAGAAAGGUGAUCAACAAGUAUGGAGAUCUCUACGGAGCAGAACGCAUUGCUGAGCUUCUGGGUUUGGACAAAAAUGCUCUUGACUUUAGCCCAGUAGAAGAGACCAAAGCAGAAGCGGCUUCUCUGGUGUCAUGGCUAAGUUCCAUAGACAUGAAGUACCAUAUCUGGAAGCUUGGAGUUGUUUUUACUGACAACUCCUUUCUCUACCUUGCCUGGUAUACAACCAUGUCAGUCCUGGGCCACUACAAUAACUUCUUCUUUGCUGCUCACCUAUUGGACAUCGCAAUGGGCUUCAAGACACUGAGGACCAUUCUGUCAUCUGUAACUCAUAAUGGCAAACAGUUGGUUCUGACUGUUGGUCUCCUGGCCGUGGUGGUUUAUCUCUAUACCGUGGUGGCUUUCAAUUUCUUCCGCAAGUUCUACAACAAAAGCGAAGACGAUGACGAGCCCGAUAUGAAGUGCGACGACAUGAUGACGUGUUACCUUUUCCACAUGUACGUGGGAGUGAGAGCAGGAGGUGGCAUUGGUGAUGAAAUUGAAGACCCUGCUGGUGAUCCUUAUGAAAUGUAUCGCAUUGUCUUUGACAUUACCUUCUUCUUCUUUGUCAUUGUCAUCUUGCUGGCCAUCAUUCAAGGUCUUAUUAUUGAUGCUUUUGGAGAGCUAAGAGACCAGCAGGAACAAGUGCGAGAAGAUAUGGAGACUAAAUGUUUCAUCUGUGGGAUUGGCAAUGACUACUUUGACACGACCCCUCAUGGUUUUGAAACACAUACAUUACAAGAGCACAACUUAGCCAACUACUUGUUCUUCCUGAUGUAUUUGAUUAAUAAAGAUGAAACAGAGCACACGGGUCAGGAAUCUUAUGUCUGGAAGAUGUACCAAGAAAGGUGUUGGGAUUUCUUCCCAGCUGGUGACUGCUUUCGUAAACAAUAUGAAGAUCAGCUUGGAUAAAUCUGAAUGAAAGAAGCGCCACAAUUCUAGACAGUCAACUUCCCAUGAAAUAAAGUCCUCCUUUUACAGUUCUGCAACAUAUCUGAAAUGUGACAUUU
This 1874-nucleotide small RNA is filed under the name Pongo abelii (Sumatran orangutan). RNAcentral describes it as "processed transcript". The record is from RNAcentral. Lineage: Eukaryota; Metazoa; Chordata; Mammalia; Primates; Hominidae.